GAUGAACGCUAGCGGCAGGCUUAAUACAUGCAAGUCGAGGGGCAGCAUGAAGUAGCAAUACUUUGAUGGCGACCGGCAAACGGGUGCGGAACACGUACACAACCUUCCUUUAAGUGGGGAAUAGCCCAGAGAAAUUUGGAUUAAUACCCCGUAACACAACGAAGUGGCAUCACUUUGUUGUUAUAGUUUCGGCGCUUAAUGAUGGGUGUGCGUAUGAUUAGAUAGUUGGCGAGGUAACGGCUCACCAAGUCUACGAUCAUUAGCUGAUGUGAGAGCAUGAUCAGCCACACGAGCACUGGGACACGGGCCCGACUCCUACGGGAGGCAGCAGUAAGGAAUAUUGGUCAAUGGACGCAAGUCUGAACCAGCCAUGCCGCGUGAAGGAUUAAGGUCCUCUGGAUUGUAAACUUCUUUUAUAUGGGACGAAAAAAGGUCUUUCUAGACCCCUUGACGGUACCAUAUGAAUAAGCACCGGCUAACUCCG
RNAcentral lists this ribosomal RNA (484 nucleotides) under uncultured bacterium. RNAcentral describes it as "partial 16S ribosomal RNA". It matches the Rfam family "Bacterial small subunit ribosomal RNA", at positions 28 to 505 of the family's 1533-position model. The record is from RNAcentral.